Molecule: long non-coding RNA, 666 nt
Organism: Rhipicephalus sanguineus (brown dog tick)
Lineage: Eukaryota; Metazoa; Arthropoda; Arachnida; Ixodida; Ixodidae
Exons: 8
Source: RefSeq, a predicted model, not a curated record
CCCCAUCCAAUUGCCGUUUGCUCUUUUGGCGAGGCAUAGAUUUGCUGUACGUGUGGCACGAGGCGACCGGCCUGCUGGCGGGAUACCAUCCUGAACACCCUGUGCCAGCAGGCCAGGUACCUAUCCGGGUCAAUUAAAGGCCUCUUGAGAAAAGGAAAAAGAAAAGUUGCUGUGAAUUUGGCAUGAAGUGACGGGCCUGCAGUUGGGCCACCUGUCCGUACUGCUUUUCCUACUGCAAUCGGGGGCGCUAUCCGACCAACAGCUUGGUGAAGGCCUCGCCUACCCGUAUGCGACCCUCGACACAUGGUGCCACCAGGCCAGGACUGCAAGGUGAACACUGCGCCGGAAUACGGAUACGGGGACCAAGCCUACAUUUUGCCCCAUCCAAUUGCGUUUGCUCUUUUGGCGAGUCACAGACUUGCUGUACGUGUGGCACGAGGUGACCGGCCUGCUGGCGCGCCAUCCUGAACACCCUGUGCCAGCAGGCCAGACUUGCUCUACGUGUGGCACGAGGUGACCGGCCUGCUGGCGCGCCAUCCUGAACACCCUGUGCCAGCAGGCCAGCUUUUUGUAGUGACCAAGGGUUUUCUUAGUGACGCACGUGGCCGAAGCUGUCAGAGUUGUGACGCGUCAUCCGAAGGCUGUAGGUUCCAUCCCCAGCUGCGG